GCUAAAGACAACUUUCACCAGUAUACGAUUUGUUAUUCAAGAUCAUUUACAAGUGUAGUUUCAGCAAUUGAUGAAAGGGAAAUGUGCUUAAUCCCUAACAAAACUCAAAGCUUGGGAUGUUAGCACGUACAAUGGGCAGGUGAGAAAUAUAACUCCCUGACCAGCUGCCAAGGAAUUAUCUCUGUUUCUUCAUAUUAAUGAUCCAUAAGCAGCAACUGUUAGUUGGAGGAUACAAUUUCACAAACCAAUUAAUUCUGCCUUUGAAAGGUAGCUGGAUAGGGGCGCUCUAAUAUAAAAGAAAGACUGAUAGAUUCUUCCAAAAAGAAGUGUAUUUUUCCUUAACUGGACUUCAUGCACUAGAAUCAUGGAUCCACCACCCUCAGACCCUCCACCGAGUCAAGCACCACUUCUAUCACCAUCACCACCUCAACCUCCUCAGUUCGGUGGAUGUCUUGAAUCAUUCCUCUGGUUUCUAUCCUGCUGUGGUUUGUUGUCAUGUUGCUGCCCUCCACUCUUUGAGCCAUGGCCUCCACCUCCCUAGAGAUUGCAAUGCUUGCUUUUGAUGUCUAAGGAAUUUGACUACAUUAAUUUCUUAUCCUGAAAUCAGUGUCACCACAUUAGUUUUAUGCAUUAUUGUGCCACACCUUUGUAUGUUUGUUAGUUUAUCUUUCCUUUAACACUUCAUGAUAAGACUUUCAUUGUUCUUGAAGAAAGAAAUGAAUCAGAAUGUAGGGAAUCAUGAUGUCCCUCUUCUUUUGUAUUGAACAUUAUC
Molecule: long non-coding RNA, 772 nt
Organism: Coffea arabica (coffee)
Lineage: Eukaryota; Viridiplantae; Streptophyta; Magnoliopsida; Gentianales; Rubiaceae
Source: RefSeq, a predicted model, not a curated record